RNAcentral lists this ribosomal RNA (253 nucleotides) under uncultured bacterium. Its description in RNAcentral is "partial 16S ribosomal RNA". It matches the Rfam family "Bacterial small subunit ribosomal RNA", at positions 524 to 776 of the family's 1533-position model. The record is from RNAcentral.
UACAGAGGGUGCGAGCGUUAAUCGGAAUUACUGGGCGUAAAGGGCUCGUAGGCGGCCAACUAAGUCAGACGUGAAAUCCCUCGGCUUAACCGGGGAACUGCGUCUGAUACUGGAUGGCUUGAGUUUGGGAGAGGGAUGCGGAAUUCCAGGUGUAGCGGUGAAAUGCGUAGAUAUCUGGAGGAACACCGGUGGCGAAGGCGGGUCUCUGGGCCACUACUGACGCUGAGGAGCGAAAGCGUGGGGAGCGAACAGG